This 214-nucleotide long non-coding RNA is filed under the name Chinchilla lanigera (long-tailed chinchilla). Its description in RNAcentral is "lncRNA (ENSCLAG00000022447.1)". The record is from RNAcentral. Lineage: Eukaryota; Metazoa; Chordata; Mammalia; Rodentia; Chinchillidae.
UACUUUAUCUUAAGUCUGUUCAUUUUAGACAAGAUGGUCUUCUUGUUCUGUUUUAUGAACAACAGACUGGGGACUUGGAUAGUGAAAAUGGAACCACUCACGCCUUCACUUACCAGCUGCAUCAUGAAGAUGUGCUCAGGUGUUGUGGGAGAAAAGGUGGUUAGAGAAAUUACCUUAUGAUAAGCAAGUGUGGACAAGGAUCAAAUAAGCAGAA